Potamilus streckersoni is the source of this 78-nucleotide non-coding RNA. The record is from the annotation of a GenBank genome assembly. Lineage: Eukaryota; Metazoa; Mollusca; Bivalvia; Unionida; Unionidae.
GGACAUCGCCGGUGGCCCGGUGGUUAGAGCUUCUGCCUCGGAUGCAGGAGGUCGUGGGUUAAAACCCUGGCCGAUUCA